AUUUUUUUAGUAUAUUUAGUAUAUUUGGUUUCCACCCAAAAGGUCUAAUUUUAUAAUUAGAAAAAAUA
Molecule: transfer RNA, 68 nt
Filed under: Pagurus gracilipes
Lineage: Eukaryota; Metazoa; Arthropoda; Malacostraca; Decapoda; Paguridae
Description: tRNA-Gly
Source: RNAcentral